UACGUAGGGUGCAAGCGUUAAUCGGAAUUACUGGGCGUAAAGCGUGCGCAGGCGGUCUUGCAAGACAGAUGUGAAAUCCCCGGGCUCAACCUGGGAACUGCAUUUGUGACUGCAAGGCUAGAGUACGGUAGAGGGGGAUGGAAUUCCGCGUGUAGCAGUGAAAUGCGUAGAUAUGCGGAGGAACACCGAUGGCGAAGGCAAUCCCCUGGGCCUGUACUGACGCUCAUGCACGAAAGCGUGGGGAGCAAACAGG
Molecule: ribosomal RNA, 253 nt
Filed under: uncultured bacterium
Lineage: Bacteria
Description: partial 16S ribosomal RNA
Rfam family: Bacterial small subunit ribosomal RNA
Source: RNAcentral